AUUUAUAUAAUUUAAUUAAAAAUAUUGAUUUGUGAAAUCAAAAUUCUAUUAUAAAUUAAUUUAUAAAUA
RNAcentral lists this transfer RNA (69 nucleotides) under Therophilus festivus. RNAcentral's name for it is "tRNA-His". Lineage: Eukaryota; Metazoa; Arthropoda; Insecta; Hymenoptera; Braconidae. The record is from RNAcentral.